This 132-nucleotide small RNA is filed under the name Paenibacillus sp. RNAcentral describes it as "c-di-AMP sequence". It matches the Rfam family "c-di-AMP riboswitch aptamer (ydaO/yuaA leader)". Rfam says of the family: This family represents a conserved RNA structure found upstream of the ydaO and yuaA genes in Bacillus subtilis and related genes in other bacteria. The ydaO/yuaA element is thought to act as a genetic "off" switch for the ydaO and yuaA genes in its native state. Lineage: Bacteria; Bacillati; Bacillota; Bacilli; Caryophanales; Paenibacillaceae. The record is from RNAcentral.
UUAAUCAUUUUGCCGAAUUUCAAUAGGAAAACGGGGGAACCGAUCCGGGUGAAUUAUUCUUGUAACAGAGGGAAUAUAGGUUACCUUCAACCGAACCCUUAGCUAACUCCGUAGGCACCGAAGGGAGAACGU